This 349-nucleotide long non-coding RNA is filed under the name Ananas comosus (pineapple). RNAcentral's name for it is "long non-coding RNA (ACOM_LNC032405)". Lineage: Eukaryota; Viridiplantae; Streptophyta; Magnoliopsida; Poales; Bromeliaceae. The record is from RNAcentral.
UCACUAUUUUCUAAUACUUAAUCAUUCAACUUAAUUUUUUUUUUUUCUGUUUUUGUUAACUAUGAACAAUAUAUAUAGUUAAAAAUGUGGACAAUUACGUUUGAAAUUUGAGACAUCGGGUAUCAACUAAAAGAUAAACGAAGCAUAUAACUUGUUAUUUUUCUCUCAAAAAUUUACCAGCAAUGCAUGAUUGUCACUAGGACUGACAAUCCAGCUUGUUAUUCGUGACUCAAUUCGUGUUCGGCUCAAAAUGAGCUUGAGAUCGAAUCGCUCGUUUAGUAAACGAGUCGAACUCGAAUUGAAUUUUACGGCUGGUUUAAUAAAUGAGCUGAAUACGAGCUGGGGUUAG